CCUACGGGUGGCAGCAGUGAGGAAUAUUGGUCAAUGGACGAGAGUCUGAACCAGCCAAGUAGCGUGAAGGAUGGCUGCCCUAUGGGUUGUAAACUUCUUUUAUAUGGGAAUAAAAUGUUCCACGUGUGGGAUUUUGUAUGUACCAUAUGAAUAAGGAUCGGCUAACUCCGUGCCAGCAGCCGCGGUAAUACGGAGGAUCCGAGCGUUAUCCGGAUUUAUUGGGUUUAAAGGGAGCGUAGGUGGAUUGUUAAGUCAGUUGUGAAAGUUUGCGGCUCAACCGUAAAAUUGCAGUUGAAACUGGCAGUCUUGAGUACAGUAGAGGUGGGCGGAAUUCGUGGUGUAGCGGUGAAAUGCUUAGAUAUCACGAAGAACUCCGAUUGCGAAGGCAGUUCACUGGACUGCAACUGACACUGAGGCUCGAAAGUGUGGGUAUCAAACAGGAUUAGAUACCCUAGUAGUC
Molecule: ribosomal RNA, 460 nt
Filed under: uncultured bacterium
Lineage: Bacteria
Description: partial 16S ribosomal RNA
Rfam family: Bacterial small subunit ribosomal RNA
Source: RNAcentral